CUCCACACUGCUUUCCACAAUGGCUGUGCUAAUUUGCAACACCACCAACAGUGAACAGGGUUCCCUGAGCCCCGCAGCCUGGCCAACAUGUGUUAAUCUUUCAUCUUUUUGAUAACCGCCAGUGGCACAGGUGUGAGUUGAUACCUCAUUGUGGUUUUAAUUUGCAUUUCUCUGAUGAUUAGAGAUGUUGAGCAUUUUCGCAUAUCACUUUUGGCCAUUUGUGAUUCUUCUUUUGAGAAAUGUCCUAUUCCAGUCCUUUGCUCAUUUUAAAAUGGGGUUGUUUCGUUGUUGUUGAGUAGGCUGAGUCCCUGGUAUGUUUUGGACACUAGCCCCUCUCCUCUGAUGCAUGGUGUGCAGAUGUUUCCUUCUAUCCCUGGAGCUGUCUUUUUACUACUGUGGCCCUCGCUGGGCAGAAGUUCUGGUGUCCCAUGAUUCUGUCUUUGUUGCUGUCAUUGCUUGUGUUCUCAGGGUCCUACCCAAGAAAUCCCUGCCCUGAUCAAUGUUUUGGAGCUUUUCCUGUUUCCUUCAGGUAUAGUUUCAGGUCUCCCAUCAGAGUCUUGGAAAGGUAGGCACAUGAUAAACAUCUGUCCAGUGAUCAAUAGGGGUUCAUGACACAAAGGUCUGGGAGCCACUGAACCUGGUAUGGUUACACUUGUCCCGUCAUCUAUGCAAUGGCUUUGUUUUGGAUACACGCAAUCAUUCUUUAAAAAACAAAUGUUUAAAAAUGCAAGAUUUUGUUAACAGGCCAUUUGAAACUAUUUGAUAUUCAUAUAAAAAGAUUAAAAAGUUUAGACAAUAUCGUCCAAGGAUGGUUUUUCUUAAAGCACACCAGUGCAAAGGUCCCUGGAAACUCUGAAGACCCACACCUAGAACAGAGAUAUCAUGUGAGCUACAAACUCACACCACAUUUGUAAUUUGAAACUUUGUAUUAGCCACAUUUUAAGAAGUAAAAAGAAAUAGGUAAAACUAAUUUUAAUAAUACAUUUUGUUUAACUCAAUACAUCUAUCUACAAAUAUUAGCAUUUCAGUGGGCGAGCAAUGGCAAAGAUCUUUGAGUUAUUUUACAUUAUUUUUUUCACACUCAAUUUUACAUAUUCGAUGUGUAUUUUACCCUCAUUUCAAGGGUCACCUGGGUUUGUGGCCACCAUAAGGAAGAAGGCCACAUGGAGACUUGGGUAGGUAAAAGCCGGGGCAAGGCUGACCAAGCUGGAGAAGGGUUUGGGCCUGUGGGGACACACUUUGGUGAUCCCAGGUAGAGGGGUGUUGGGUCAGGCCGCUGCUCACGUUGCCAAUAUUGCAGAUUUUCAGGUGGUUAUGGAGGCACAGCCCCCGGCAUUUCAGCAGAAGUCUUCCUUUUCCCAGAGUCGCUGUCUUUUCCUUUGAAACGGACGCACAGAUCCUGCGCACACUAGGGGAAGAUGUGAUGCCCAGUAACUAAGUUACACCCCAUAAUUACAAUAAUUUGUUCUUCA
This 1472-nucleotide long non-coding RNA is filed under the name Marmota monax (woodchuck). Lineage: Eukaryota; Metazoa; Chordata; Mammalia; Rodentia; Sciuridae. The record is from RNAcentral.